RNAcentral lists this ribosomal RNA (301 nucleotides) under uncultured bacterium. Its description in RNAcentral is "partial 16S ribosomal RNA". It matches the Rfam family "Bacterial small subunit ribosomal RNA", at positions 509 to 809 of the family's 1533-position model. The record is from RNAcentral.
CAGUCGCCACGGUAAUACAGAGGGUGCGAGCGUUAAUCGGAUUUACUGGGCGUAAAGCGUGCGUAGGCGGCUUCUUAAGUCGGAUGUGAAAUCCCUGAGCUUAACUUAGGAAUUGCAUUCGAUACUGGGAAGCUAGAGUAUGGGAGAGGAUGGUAGAAUUCCAGGUGUAGCGGUGAAAUGCGUAGAGAUCUGGAGGAAUACCGAUGGCGAAGGCAGCCAUCUGGCCUAAUACUGACGCUGAGGUACGAAAGCAUGGGGAGCAAACAGGAUUAGAGACCCGUGUAGUCCCUGUCUCUUAUAA